Long non-coding RNA from Anolis carolinensis (green anole), 3017 nucleotides. Lineage: Eukaryota; Metazoa; Chordata; Lepidosauria; Squamata; Anolidae. The record is from Ensembl.
CAAUGGCUGUGUUUGGCAUCUCCGCCGUGUUGUUGCUGGCCAGCCUGAGCCAAGGGCAGGACUUCCCUUUCCGGGACCCGACUUUACCCUGGGAAGAGCGGCUAGACGACCUGAUCAACAGGCUGACUCUCGAGGAGAUGGUGCUGCAGAUGGCAAGAGGAGGUGCAGGUCCCAACGGCCCGGCACCCCCCAUUGAGCGGCUGGGCAUUGGCCCUUUCAACUGGAACACGGAGUGCCUCCGAGGAGACGUAGAAGCCCCGGGCUGGGCAACCGCCUUCCCGCAAGCCCUGGGCUUGGCUGCCUCGUUCAGCCCUGACCUCAUCUACAGCGUCGCCAAUGUCACAGCCACGGAGGUCCGUGGCAACCAUAACUACUUUGUCUCCCGUGGCUACUACUUUGACCACACCGGCCUGAGCUGCUUCAGCCCCGUCCUGAACAUCAUGAGGCACCCGCUGUGGGGCAGGAACCAGGAGACUUAUGGGGAAGACCCCUUCCUGACGGCGCAGCUGGGCGUAGCUUUUGUGACGGGGCUUCAGGGAGACCACCCUCGCUACGUCAAGGCCAGCGCGGGCUGCAAACACUUCGAUGUCCACGGAGGUCCCGAGAAUGUCCCCACGUCCCGGUUUUCCUUUGACACCAAGGUGGAGGAACGUGACUGGCGCAUGACUUUCCUGCCUCAGUUUGAAGCCUGUGUGCAGGCUGGAACCUUCAGCUUCAUGUGCAGUUACAACAGGAUUAAUGGGGUGCCCGCCUGUGCCAACAAGAAACUUCUGACGGACAUCCUGCGUGGCGAGUGGGGCUUCCAGGGCUACGUGGUGAGUGACGAAGGAGCCAUCGAGUUGAUCAUGGUUGGGCACCACUUCACCCAGAGCUUCCUGGAGACUGCAAUUGCUUCUGUGAAUGCUGGAUGCAACCUGGAACUUGCGUAUUUGAUGAAAGCGAAUGUGUUCACUCACAUAAGUGAAGCUGUGGCCAAGGGCAACAUCUCCUUGGAGACGGUUAAGGCCCGCGUCCGCCCGCUCUUCCGCACCCGCAUGCGCCUGGGCGAGUUCGACCCACCGGCCAUGAACCCCUACAAUGCUCUGGGACUCGGCGACGUGGCCACUGAAGCUCAUCACCAACUAGCUCUCUGUGCUGCCGUUCAGUCCUUCGUCCUGCUCAAAAACGACCAAGGAACCCUCCCUCUUAAGGCCCAAGAUGUAUCUGACAAGACAUUUGCAGUGGUUGGACCUUUUGCAGACAACCCUAGACUUUUGUUUGGAGACUACGCUCCACUUUCAUUACCCAAGUACAUCUACACACCCAGAAGAGGGAUCGCAACCAUCUCGGCGAAUGUCUCCUAUGCUGCGGGGUGUAGCCAUCCCAGUUGCGACCGGUAUUUCCCUGCGGAAGUGGAAAAAGUGGUACAGGCGGCAGACGUUGUGGUUGUUUGUCUGGGUACAGGAACGGACCUUGAGAGUGAAGGCCUGGACCGGACAGACCUGGCUUUGCCCGGGCACCAGCUGGACCUUCUGCAGGAUGCCGUGGCUUGGGCUGCUGGCCGGCCGGUGAUUCUGCUCCUGUUCAACGCCGGCCCGCUGGACGUGAGCUGGGCCAAGGAAAACGAUGGCGUGGGAGCCAUUGUAGCCUGUUUCUUCCCCGCUCAGGCCACCGGUCUGGCUAUUGCCAAGGUGUUGGUGGGAGCCGAUGGGACGAACCCUGCAGGCAGGCUCCCGGCCACCUGGCCAGCAGGUAUGAACCAGGUGCCACCCAUGGAGAACUACACAAUGGCUGGGCGCACGUACCGCUACUAUGGGGACGAGGCCCCGUUGUAUCCCUUUGGCUACGGACUCUCUUUUACCACCUUUCUGUACAGCGACUUGGCCCUGGGUUCUGAUGUUCUGCCCAUUUGCGGAAACCUGACUGUCUCGGUGGUGGUGAAGAACGUUGGCUCCAGAGACGGCGAGGAGGUGGUGCAGCUCUAUCUCCGUUGGGGAAGGGCAUCGGUGCCAGUCCCGCGUUGGCAGCUGGUUGGCUUCCGGAGGGUCCUGAUACCACAAGGACAAUCCGUCAAGGUGUCCUUCCUGCUCUCCUUCGACCAGAGAGCCGUAUGGGCUGGGGAAUGGCAGCUGGAGCCGGGCACUUUCACCCUUUUCGUCGGCGGGCAGCAGCCCUUCCAAGAAACCCGGGCCCCUUCCAACAUCCUUCAAGCCGAUUUCACUGUUUUGGGAAGCUCGCGCAAAAGAAGCCAAUGCUAGUCGCUGUGACUCACUGGGAAAAAAGCAAUGCAGGGACUCAUGACGUUAGUGAAUGUUCUUACAUUAAAGAAGACCAGAUUUGGAGCAGAGAAUACAGUACACGCCACGAUGGUUUGCAAAGUGGGGAUGACCUUGCCACGGAUGCGCAAUUGACAUUGUUCGUGGAACAGAUUGCGAUGGGAAACAGGCAAGGGCAAGGAAAGGGCUUGCAGAGAAAAUAAAAUAUUGUUUUCUGAAAUAAGCCAAUGUGUUCAUUUCUUUUUUCAAGUGGUGCUGGAAUAACUGCAAUCUGUGCAUAUAUCCACCAGAUGGAGCUUUGCACAUACUUUUACAAGGUUCCCAUUCAUAACAAUCCUUGGUUGGGUUGUUGUAUGUCUUUCGGGCUGUGUGGCCAUGUUCCAGAAGCAUUCUCUCCUGACGUUUCGCCCACAUCUAUGGCAGGCAUCCUCAGAGGUUGUGAGGUAUGGAAUCCUUGGUUGUGUUGUGGAAAGGCUUUCAUGGCCCCAAUUACUGGAUUGCGGUGAGUUUUUCGGCCUGUAGGGCCAUGUUCCAGCAGCAUUCUGUCCUGACGUUUCGCCUGCAUCUGUGGCUGGCAUCUUCAGAGGUUCUGUUGGCAGUGAAGCAAAUAGAGAGAGUGUGUGUGUAUAUAUGUGUGUGUGUGAAUAUAUAUAUAUGUAUGUAUGUAUAUAUAUAUAUAUAUAUAUAUAUAUAUAUAUAUAUAUAUAUUCACACACACAUUAGCCAUGCCAUGCAUUGCUGCGUCUCUUUAGUCUGGUGGUC